This 377-nucleotide transfer-messenger RNA is filed under the name bacterium. Its description in RNAcentral is "JAHJRI01 sp018645005 Standard tmRNA". It matches the Rfam family "transfer-messenger RNA". From Rfam's summary of the family: Bacterial tmRNA, also known as 10Sa RNA or SsrA, is named for its dual tRNA and mRNA-like properties. The record is from RNAcentral. RNAcentral also lists the same sequence under 2 other names.
GGGGGUGCACAGGAUUUCGACCUGGAUGAGAUAUUAAUAGUGUCAGCAAGUAGUGGUUAGACGAAGGGCCACUAUAAAAAUCGUCUGAAAUUUUUACUUGCUAAAAAUAGCGAUUAUACUCUUAACAGCGCUGCUAUAGCAGCCUAGUUCGAGAGCGUGAAGCCUGUGAUGUCUGAUAAGCAGGAUUUCAUGUAACUUUAUCAGGCUUAUCUUUGUUGUUUCCCACUAACAGCGAGGUGAUCUUUCAAAUGGGAGGCCGUACCUGAGGAUGUCAGUGAACAAAAUGGUAUUGGCGAGAUAUAAAAAUCUGACUAAACUUGUAGAAAGCUAUUAGUUCUGUCUUUGGGACGCGGGUUCGAUUCCCGCCACCUCCACCA